CUUUAUUAAUUUCUUAUAUAUAAUUUAUAUUAAAUAUAAAAAUAUAUUUUUUAAAUAAAAAGACGAUAAGACCCUAUUAAAUUUUACUUAUAGUUUAACUGGGGAAGUUUUAAAAAUAAAAUUUUUUAUAAAAAUAAAAAUAAAUCUAAUAAAAUUAAAAUUAAAUUAAAUUACUAUAGGGAUAACAGCAUUAUAUUUUUUAAAAGUUCAUAUUAAAAAAAAUGAUUGUGACCUCGAUGUUGAAUUAUAUUUUCUUUAUUAAUGCAAUAAUUAUAAAAGUAGAUCUGUUCGAUCUUUAAAAUAUUACAUGAUUUGAGUUCAAACCGGUGUAAACCAGGUUGGUUUCUAUCUUUUUAUAAAUUCAUAUAUAUAUAUAUAUAUACAUAAAUUUUUCAAGUACGAAAGGAAAAAAAAAUUUUUAUUUUAAUUAAUUAGCAAUUAAUAUGCAUUAGAUUUAGAAUCUAAAUAAACUAUU
This 475-nucleotide unclassified non-coding RNA is filed under the name Anelosimus eximius. RNAcentral describes it as "partial contains tRNA-Leu and 16S ribosomal RNA". The stretch from base 57 to 354 matches the Rfam family "Bacterial large subunit ribosomal RNA", at positions 2074 to 2646 of the family's 2925-position model. Lineage: Eukaryota; Metazoa; Arthropoda; Arachnida; Araneae; Theridiidae. The record is from RNAcentral.